Oryza sativa Japonica Group (Japanese rice) is the source of this 206-nucleotide microRNA precursor. It matches the Rfam family "MIR812 microRNA precursor family". The record is from Rfam. NCBI's taxonomy places the organism in Eukaryota, Viridiplantae, Streptophyta, Magnoliopsida, Poales, Poaceae.
AAAAAAGACAAACCUGAAUUUUCUUGUCCAACGUUUGACUGUUCAUGUUAUAUGAAAUUUUUUAUAAUUACUAUUUUCAUUGUUAUUAGAUGAUAAAUCAUGAUUAAUGCUUUAUGCGUGACUUGUUUUUUUAAUUUUUUUUAUAAUUUUUUUAAAUAAGACGGACGGUCAAACGUUGGACACGGAAACUCAGGGUUUGCCUUUUU